ACGCGCCGGGAGCUUGCUCCUGGUGGCGAGUGGCGAACGGGUGAGUAAUAUAUCGGAACGUGCCCUAGAGUGGGGGAUAACUAGUCGAAAGAUUAGCUAAUACCGCAUACGAUCUACGGAUGAAAGUGGGGGAUCGCAAGACCUCAUGCUCAUGGAGCGGCCGAUAUCUGAUUAGCUAGUUGGUGGGGUAAAAGCUCACCAAGGCGACGAUCAGUAGCUGGUCUGAGAGGACGACCAGCCACACUGGAACUGAGACACGGUCCAGACUCCUACGGGAGGCAGCAGUGGGGAAUUUUGGACAAUGGGCGCAAGCCUGAUCCAGCAAUGCCGCGUGAGUGAAGAAGGCCUUCGGGUUGUAAAGCUCUUUUGUCAGGGAAGAAACGGUCUUGGUUAAUACCUGGGGCUAAUGACGGUACCUGAAGAAUAAGCACCGGCUAACUACGUGCCAGCAGCCGCGGUAAUACGUAGGGUGCAAGCGUUAAUCGGAAUUACUGGGCGUAAAGCGUGCGCAGGCGGUUAUACAAGACAGAUGUGAAAUCCCCGGGCUCAACCUGGGAAUUGCAUUUGUGACUGUAUGGCUAGAGUGUGUCAGAGGGGGGUAGAAUUCCACGUGUAGCAGUGAAAUGCGUAGAUAUGUGGAGGAAUACCGAUGGCGAAGGCAGCCCCCUGGGAUAACACUGACGCUCAUGCACGAAAGCGUGGGGAGCAAACAGGAUUAGAUACCCUGGUAGUCCACGCCCUAAACGAUGUCUACUAGUUGUCGGGUCUUAAUUGACUUGGUAACGCAGCUAACGCGUGAAGUAGACCGCCUGGGGAGUACGGUCGCAAGA
Molecule: ribosomal RNA, 830 nt
Filed under: Herbaspirillum sp. EMA 109
Lineage: Bacteria; Pseudomonadati; Pseudomonadota; Betaproteobacteria; Burkholderiales; Oxalobacteraceae
Description: bacterial SSU rRNA
Rfam family: Bacterial small subunit ribosomal RNA
Source: RNAcentral